This 466-nucleotide ribosomal RNA is filed under the name uncultured bacterium. RNAcentral's name for it is "partial 16S ribosomal RNA". It matches the Rfam family "Bacterial small subunit ribosomal RNA", at positions 28 to 507 of the family's 1533-position model. The record is from RNAcentral.
GAUGAACGCUGGCGGCGUGCUUAACACAUGCAAGUCGAACGAUGAAGCCCAGCUUUCUGGGUGGUUUAGUGGCGAACGGGUGAGUAACACGCGAGUAACCUGCCCUUCACUCUGGGAUAAGCCUGGGCAACUGGGUCUAAUACUUGAUAUAACUUCUCAUCGCCCGGUGGGGGGUGGAAAGAUUUAUUGGUCUUGGAUGGACUCUCGGCCUAUCAGCUUGUUGGUGAGUUAAUGGAUCACCAAGGCGACGACGGGUAGCCGGCCUGAGAGGGUGAGCGGCCACACUGGGACUGAGAGACGGCGCAGACUGCUACGGGAGGCAGCAGUGGGGAAUAUUGCACAGAGGGCGCAAGCCUGAUGCAGAGGCGCCGCGAGAGGGAUGACGGCCUUCGGGUUGUAAACCUCUUUCAGUAGGGAAGAAGCGGGAGUGACGGUACCUGCAGAAGAAGCGCCGGCUAACUACGUG